UACGAAGGGGGCUAGCGUUGUUCGGAUUUACUGGGCGUAAAGGGUGCGUAGGCGGAUAUGUCAGUCAGGGGUGAAAUCCCGGGGCUCAACCUCGGAACUGCCUUUGAUACAGCAUAUCUUGAGUCCGAUAGAGGUGGGUGGAAUUCCUAGUGUAGAGGUGAAAUUCGUAGAUAUUAGGAAGAACACCGGUGGCGAAGGCGGCCCACUGGAUCGGUACUGACGCUGAGGUGCGAAAGCGUGGGGAGCAAACAGG
This 253-nucleotide ribosomal RNA is filed under the name uncultured bacterium. RNAcentral describes it as "partial 16S ribosomal RNA". It matches the Rfam family "Bacterial small subunit ribosomal RNA", at positions 524 to 776 of the family's 1533-position model. The record is from RNAcentral.